GUACAAGAAUCCAUGUUAUUAACUUCAAUAGAUGCCUGAGUAACAGCAGGGGCAGAACAUCCAGAAGAAAUAUUAGACAUCUCUUGCUCCUUCAAGCAGUUAAUUUCCUGCAAAUUUCCAUUAAAGCGUUUGGCUGCAGUAUCUGCUAGUUGAUCCUCAUCAUUUUUUCUCCCAUACAUUGCAGGUUGAUCCUCGUCAUUUUUUCUCCCACCCAAUCCAUCAACUGAUGGCCGUACACAUUUCAUAUCACAAGACACUAUCACCUUGCUAGGCACAUCUUUCCACUGAGAAGCAUGACAAUCAAUUUUUUUAUGGUUUUGGCCCUUCGAUUUU
RNAcentral lists this long non-coding RNA (333 nucleotides) under Vitis vinifera (wine grape). RNAcentral describes it as "long non-coding RNA (VVIN_LNC000975)". Lineage: Eukaryota; Viridiplantae; Streptophyta; Magnoliopsida; Vitales; Vitaceae. The record is from RNAcentral.